RNAcentral lists this ribosomal RNA (254 nucleotides) under uncultured bacterium. RNAcentral's name for it is "partial 16S ribosomal RNA". It matches the Rfam family "Bacterial small subunit ribosomal RNA", at positions 524 to 776 of the family's 1533-position model. The record is from RNAcentral.
CACGUAGGGUGCGAGCGUUGUCCGGAAUUAUUGGGCGUAAAGAGCUCGUAGGCGGUGUGUCGCGUCGGCCGUGAAAACCUGCAGCUUAACUGUGGGCUUGCGGUCGAUACGGGCAUCACUGGAGUUCGGCAGGGGAGACUGGAAUUCCUGGUGUAGCGGUGAAAUGCGCAGAUAUCAGGAGGAACACCGGUGGCGAAGGCGGUUCUCUGGGCCUGUACUGACGCUGAGGAACGAAAGCGUGGGGAGCGAACAGG